AGCAAUUGAACCAAUGAAAUCCGAGUUGUUCCUUUCUCCUCCCUUGCACUUCUUCCAAAGUGGACACUCCCACUUAAAGUGCCCUGCUUCACCACACUUGAAGCACUUUCUAACGUCCUUGCUGUCCUUAUUGGACCGUCUCCGCCCCACCUGCUCGAUGCUUUUCUUCUCACUUUAGGUCUCUCCAAAAUUGCAACAUCCUCCUGGAAGACCUCCCUCUUCGUUAUCCAUUCCC
RNAcentral lists this long non-coding RNA (235 nucleotides) under Elaeis guineensis (African oil palm). RNAcentral describes it as "long non-coding RNA (EGUI_LNC074650)". The record is from RNAcentral. Lineage: Eukaryota; Viridiplantae; Streptophyta; Magnoliopsida; Arecales; Arecaceae.